UUUCAAUAUAAAACAGUUAUUUUUCAUAAAAGAAAAUAUAAUUUUGAUUAAUUUACCUACGACUUUGGUUCCGCUCUUUCCAUUCCAUGAUCUCGCUCCUCUCCUCUCUCCAGGAACUCUGUCUAUCCCCGGACCGCAAGUUAGAUCCUUUUUCCUGGGCCAAGUUACCUAUGCCUUCCGAGCCCUUAAAAGUUUCCCUAGGAUUCGAUCCCUCCACCUUAUUUUCAUUGAAGAGGAAGACCAAAAAUUUGAUCUUAAGUGGAAGGCCGUGUUCAGAUCUAAUACUUGUUCAUGUGCGUGUCUUGUAUACAAUUCGAUUGCUAAACUUUCUUCUGUGAGUGGGAGUGUUAGUGCUACUACUACAGCUGCUGAUAGUGAUACAAUAACUUCUACGGCUUUCAGGUACAUCGUGACCCCAAAUUUGUGGCGUAAGCUUUUGGAGGUUCGUUAUCCUUUGGUUGAUAGUGUUGUAAUUACUGAUUCUAAAAGGCAAGGGAAGGUCUGUUAUAGAAACUUAGAGCCUCGUGAUGCCAGAACAUAUAGCACUGUUUUGGAUAUAUGGAACAAUAGUUUUGGGGAAGGUCAAACAAGUUUUAAGUUUAUUGAGACACCAGAGUUGCGUCUUCCCAAGUCAGGGUUUAUAAUGAAGGGGGUCUAUCUUGCCAUUUGUAAGGUCGGGGAGAAUUCAACUGAAGACGAUGAUAUUCUGAGCUGUAGUUUUGGAGAGGAAGAGAUUGUGUUUGGCGAAGCUUUAACCUUGGUUUUGGGAACCCCCAAGGACAAAAUGAGGGUUUCUCGUCGGUAUAUAAAUGGAUUCCAUGUUUCGAAUAUCAAUAUAAUUUGAGAGUUAUUUAUCUACAUUUGAACUAUGUGUCUACCUUUAAAAUUUCCUGAAUCAUUUUGCUUCAACUCUAAGUUGAGCUAUUACUAGCUCAUGUGCUUGUAGCAGAUAAUGCAAUUCAGUUAUUAUGUUUGAUGAGGCUGAACCUGGUUUUAAAGAUAUUGUAUGGCAUAUUUUGGUUCA
This is a long non-coding RNA of Daucus carota subsp. sativus, 1024 nucleotides long. RefSeq lists it as uncharacterized. The transcript has 2 exons. Lineage: Eukaryota; Viridiplantae; Streptophyta; Magnoliopsida; Apiales; Apiaceae. The record is from RefSeq and is a predicted model, not a curated record.